Molecule: long non-coding RNA, 542 nt
Organism: Oncorhynchus tshawytscha (Chinook salmon)
Lineage: Eukaryota; Metazoa; Chordata; Actinopteri; Salmoniformes; Salmonidae
Source: Ensembl
GUUCGGUUAAAUACAGGCGAAUUCCCUUUCAAGGCAACCUUCAAGGCAAGAGGAAAGCCUCUUUUAACAGAACCCCUGUGGACCAGGUGGAUGGAUUGGGGACCAGGUGGAUGGACUUGGACCAGGUGGAUGGACAGGGGACCAGGUGGACCAGGUGGAUGGACUGGGGACCAGGUGGAUGGACUGGGGACCAGGUGGAUGGACUGGGGACCAGGUGGAUGGACUGGGACCAGGUGGAUGGACUGGGGACCAGGUGGAUGGACUGUGGACCAGGUGGACCAGGUGGAUGGACUGGGGACUAGGUGGACCAGGUGGAUGGACUGGGGACCAGGUGGACCAGGUGGAUGGACUGGGGACUAGGUGGACCAGGUGGAUGGACUGGGGACUAGGUGGACCAGGUGGAUGGACUGUGGACCAGGUGGACCAGGUGGAUGGACUGUGGACCAGGUGGACCAGGUGGAUGGACUGGGGACUAGGUGGACCAGGUGGAUGGACUGGGGACCAGGUGGAUGGACUGGGGACCAGGUGGAUGGACUGUGGAC